AGGUUCGUACGAAGUUCGUUCUGAAAUGCAGUGGUUGGUGUAUUGUAUAGUUCUAGAGAUUGUAUUUCACUCAAAACCCACCAAAUGACUCCUCCCACAAUAUUAUGAUGUUCCCCAAGUUUUGGACUCAAUCCGAUAUCGAUUGGUCCUUGAAAUCGGACAAUUCAGGUUCGUACGAAGUUCGUUCUGAAAUGGGGUGGUUGGUGUAUUGUAUAGUUCUAGAGAUUGGAUUCACUCAAAACCCAACCAAAUGACUCCUCCCACAAUAUUAUGGCGUUCCCCAAGUUUUGGACUCAAUCCAAUAUCGAUUGGUCUUGAAAUCGGACAAUUCAGGUUCGUACGAAGUUCGUUCUGAAAUGGGGUGGUUGGUGUAUUGUAUAGUUCUAGAGAUUGGAUUUCACUCAAAACCCACCAAAUGACUCCUCCCAAAAUAUUAUGAUGUUCCCCAAGUUUUGGACUCAAUCCGUUACCGAUUGGUCAAUGAAAUCGGACAAUUCAGGUUCGUACGAAUUUCGUUCCGAAAUGGGGUGGUUGGUGUAUUGUAUAGUUCUAGAGACUGGAUUUCACUCAAAACCCACCAAAUGACUCCUCCCACAAUAUUAUGAUGUUCCCCAAGUUUUGGACUCAAUUCGUUAUCGACUGGUCAAUGAAAUCGGAAAAUUCAGGUUGGUACGAAGUUCGUUCUGAAAUGGGGUGGUUGGUGUAUUGUAUAGUUCUAGAGAUUGGAUUUCACUCAAAUCCCACCAAAUGACUCCUAACAAAAUAUUAUGGUGGUCCCCAACUUUUGGACUCAAUCCGUUACCGAUUGGUCAAUGAAAUCGGACAAUUCAGGUUCGUACGAAGUUCAUUCUGAAAUGGGGUGGUUGGUGUAUUGUAUAGUUCUAGAGAUUGGAUGUCACUCAAAACCCACCAAAUGACUCCUCCCACAAUAUUAUGAUGCUUCCCAAGUUUAGAACUCAAUUCGUUAUCGAUUGGUCAAUGAAAUCGGACAAUUCAGGUUCGUACGAAGUUCGUUCUGAAAUGGGGUGGUUGGUGUAUUGUAUAGUUCUAGAGUUUGGAUUUCUCUCAAAACCCACCAAAUGACUCCUUCCACAAUAUUAUGGCGUUCCCCAAGUUUUGGACUCAAGCCGAUAUCGAUUGGUCUUUGAAAUCGGACAAUUCAGGUUCGUACGAAGUUCGUUCUGAAAUGGGGUGGUUGGUGUGUUGUAU
Molecule: long non-coding RNA, 1209 nt
Filed under: Prunus persica (peach)
Lineage: Eukaryota; Viridiplantae; Streptophyta; Magnoliopsida; Rosales; Rosaceae
Description: long non-coding RNA (PPER_LNC008744)
Source: RNAcentral